GGUCCCUAGUGGUCUGUGUGAAGUGCAAACGUUAAACUAUCUUGUCAUCAUGAAGACACCUCCAAUCUUGCCAACUAUUGUCUGUCCACAAUGACUUGGCCAUUGUUCUUAAGGCUCCCACCUAAAGGUUCACAGACAAAAGUCUGCCAAGUAUUUUCUUCAUUGACGGUUGUCUUUCCUUAGCCUCAUCCUACUGGAAAAGAGUCUAAGAGUAGUUAGAUACUGUAGUUUCUUAUGGUUGGGGGUCACCACAACAUGAGCUCUUUAUAUUAAAGAGUCGCAGCAUUAACACUGGUACCUCAAGGUUGAGGUCUCUCCACCAAGGGCAACUCUGUUCCAGUCACCCAGGCUAAUACCCAGCCCAAACCGCUGCCACUGGUCAAGUUCAGUCCAGCACAGACCCUUGAGUCACCGGUGGUCAGUCAGAUGACCUUGGCUCCUGCGCGGGCCUGUGUUUCCGGAGCUUCACCGCAGCACUGCUGGCCCGGCGCUGUGAAUGCGGGCUCGUGAGCGCGCACUGCCCCACCAGCCCACAGCGCCCGCCCGUGGGCCGCGUUCGCUCAGGGUGCGCUCGGGCCAGUCCCGCCUCUCCUAGUUUUCGCUUUCGCUUUUUAUAGCUUCUCUGAAGAGAAACAAAGCGGCAGCUACGACGGCUACGACGGCCACGACCGGUAAUGGUGUUGGAGGGAAGGACAGGGGAACUCCGCAGCCUGGACCCCAGGCCCACAGGAGAGGUGGCAGCAUGCCCCGGCCCUCCUGCUGAUGUCAGGAGGCUGGACAGCCAAGAAGGAAGAAAAUGGACUCCCUCCUUCUGAAGACUCGCCAGCUGCCAUGCAAUGGUGGACAGCACCUCAAGCUCACCCCACAAUGCACCUCUGUGGAGACACCAUCAGUGCCACACUCCUUGUUCUGCCACAGCUGUGACCAACAAUAAGAGACAGAGACAACUACAGAAAGUGAGGAAGGACAAUCUGUGACAACUUACGUCAUCGGUGGUGUGAGAAUGGGGGCCGGAAGAAGCCAUAGUUCUAUGUUGGGGUUUGGUCAGGUCACUUUUGCCAUUCAGCGAGCAUGGACCGUGUGCCAAAAACUGCUAGACGCAAAACAGCUGUGAAGGUCUAGACUUGUCCCUACCUGCCAGAGCACCCAGACACUUCAAGCAGACUGGCCGACGGCGCCAUGAUCCCUGAUUUUACCUACUGUGGUGAACACAUCAACUGCCAGACAUCAUUGGUGCCCUCUGGGGGUUCACCUCUGAAUGCACCCCACAUGUCUUGGGGUGCUAGAUGCAACCGUGGAGGGAGAAUAAAAGCAGCUUUCUAGGGAUGGAAUCCUGAGUCUGCCACGAACCCACUGGGUGACCAUGGGUGAGUUCCUUAACACUUCUGAGUGUCAGUUCUCAGUGAAAUCAAGUUAACAGUCUACACCUCAGAGGCAUAUGAAAAUGGGACAGAAUCACCUCACUGAGGAAUCUGAAGGGAGUAGGCUGCUGUUGACGGUUGUGUCUGUGAAGUGUCUGGUGACUGAGUUGGGAGGAGGGCACCUUUGUGGACAGACCUGAGGCGAACAGUCAGAGACAGCUAUUGUUAUACACAUUUUGGGGGGAAGCAGAGGUCAGUGCAGGCCAGCAGGCUGCACCAGCUUUGGCGAUGCCAGGCUUUGUUCUUCAAGGAAGGGUAGGGCUGGGAGCAGGGCAGGCUGCAGUGCAAGCCAAGGCCAAGAGGCAGAGACUCCCAGACUGUGUCUGGGAGAUGCAAGCCAAGGAACAGACGUCAACAUCAAACGCAUCAAGGCCCGAGGGAGGAGCUUUGCCCUUUUCUCUGGUCUCGGAUGAGUCCCUGGUGGAAGCUGAGCUGGGGGCGCCUUGGGACGGACCAAAGCAAAUGCUGCAAAAAGCUUCGAAGGAUCCAACGUCUUAUCGAGGCCUGGACCAAAGCCAAGGCCAGAGCUAGGGCCCAUACCAGGGCAGAACCCAGUUCACAGAACUCAAGUCCAGUUAGGACCUCCCAGAAGGAAAUUCCUGCCCUGACUGUGACCCCAUGUUGGGAACAGGGUCAAUAGGCAUUUGUUUUGAUCGCUCCAGAAAAAGUUAAUCCAACAAAUACAGAGAACCCGUCACCCAGAGGUGAUGUGAUGGCCACUACUGUCAUGCUGCAUUUCCAUAGCUGAUGCCAUCCCUGGGCCAUCUGGUAUCCCUUAAGACUACAGCUGACUGAGCAGUUCCAAGUCCCUCCUUUACCCUGUGAAAUGUCAUGUGUUUUCUCAGGAAGUGUUGAUUUUAAUGCAGAACUCUAGAAAACAGUAUUUUCUUUUUUAUUUAAGAAUUUUAUAUGCAAGUUGACUGUACCUUCAUCCUUUUAACCCUCCGUGCCUCUCUCCAAUUCCUUUGCAGCCCCCUCUCCCUUCCAGAAUACACGAGCUACAUACAGUGAAUGUAUGACCCCUUAUGACCACUUGUUCCUAAAGACUCCCCUCCCCUCCACUGACUGUAUGUGAGUGAUGCCUGGUGUGGCCUUUGCAGGCAGGCCUUGUGCAGGCACCCAUGUUGUGGAGAGUUCAUGCAUGCACAGAAAACGUUCCUUAAAAGGAGGAAGGGGCUAAAAAAGAACCAGGCUUAGAAGCACACACUAGCAAUCCCAUCAUUCAGAAGGCGGAGGCAGGAGGACUACUGUGAAUUCAAAGUCAGUUCUGAGGAAUAUAGUGAGACCCUAUUAGGAGGUUGGUAAAUAAACAAGUAUAGUGCAGAGCUCUAGCCAGCAGGACAUCCUGUGGGGACAAGGGUGGCUCUCGCAUCCGCAUCCUGUGUGAGCUGCAGAGGUGGGGUGCCUCGGCCAGGUCCCACUCUCAUGGACUGGCGACAGCUUCCUGCCUAGGGUAAGAAGAGCUUUCGAUGACUUUGCACUUGCCCUUCCUUCCCCUCAGGAUGCACUGAUCACCCCCCACACACACACACACCAGAAGGCAGGUGGACUAUCAGCAGUCGGAUCUGCCCGGAUCCUUGUUUCUCUCACAGACCCCACAAGUUCUGUGAGCCUCUGAGACAGGCACUGUUCUCCACAUAGUUCAGUUGGCUUUCUGCUGUGAUAAAACACUGACCACAACCUAGGGAGGAAAGGUUCUCUUUGGCUUGCAGGUUACAGCCAUCAGUCAGGGGAGGUCAGACCAGGACGUGAAGCAGAGGCAGGAACACUGCUUAUUGGCUACCAUUCUGAGCCUGGCUCUCCUUGUUGGCCCUGACCCCAGGCCAGUCUGACGAUGGCACUAAUCACAAUGUGCGUUCUCUCUUCCUAGGUGUGUCAGGUUGACAGCCAGGAUCAACCAUCGCUUCUGCCUCACGAAUGAAGAUUCUGAGGCUGCCAGCAGGGCCAGUAGGCUGGGUGAGGCCGCACAGCUAGUUAGAAGACUUCAUGCAGAUCCGGCAGGGUCUGCAUUCCCAACCACAGCCUAACACUGGUCUGAUACGGUCAACAUGCCAGAACCUGUUGCCUCGUUCAUGGUGAGAUUUUGUUGUUGUUUUAAUUUUUUUUUUUUGAGACAUGGUCUCUCUAUUGUAGCCCUGGCAGGCUGGCAUAUUGGCAGGCCUAGAACUCAAUAUGUACACCAGGCUGGCCUUGAACUCAGAAAGAUCUGCUUGCCUCUGCCUCCCAGGUGGAUUUGGUCACCUGGCUCAGACAGAAACAUGGCUGACAAGUAUUCUUUGAACCCUGGAGCUAAGCUCUGGCAGGCCAGAGUCCUCUGGAGCAAACGGGUAUGGCCAAGCUGCUCCCUGCUCUAAGGUCAAGUUACAAGCCUUGUCUGUGUCUCAACUCCCUGGGGCCCUAACCCUUGAAACAUCAGGCAGCUUCCCGGGCACAGGUAGAGCAUUGCUUCUCUUGAAGGUCAAGGCUCACCCUACUGGGGCCCCAGGAAAGCACAGCCAACAGUCUAGACCCCAGACUCCAAGGUGUCGGGAGGGUGCAGGCACAGCUCAGAGUCCCAAAUACCUUCUUGGCAUAGGGUGCCCAGCUAUUCUCAGUUUCCUUCUUGCAGGAACCUUGAUAUUGUGGAACCAGCCUGGGUUCUGAGCCUGGACAGAUGUAGCUUAGAAGCCAGCCUCCAUAAUGAUUAGCUGAGUCAUCUUGGGCAAGCCCCUUACUUAGCCUUGUUGAACGUUGAUUUCUGGUCUGUGAACAAGAGGUUGGUGUUGGGAGGAGGUAUGUGCAUGUGUGCCCAUGUAUGUGGAGCUUGGCCUCUGUUGUCAUGUCCACCUAGGUGUAGUCCAUCUGAGUCCUUGCUGCUGAUCCUGUUCUCCAGGGAGGUGGUUGGCAGGUGGAUGUCUGCCUCUGUCAUUUCCACUCGGUAUCCAUGAUUUUACCCCAUGAUUCCAGCAUCUCCC
RNAcentral lists this small RNA (4375 nucleotides) under Rattus norvegicus (Norway rat). RNAcentral's name for it is "uncharacterized LOC102550895". Lineage: Eukaryota; Metazoa; Chordata; Mammalia; Rodentia; Muridae. The record is from RNAcentral.